This is a non-coding RNA of Pelobates cultripes (western spadefoot toad), 338 nucleotides long. NCBI's taxonomy places the organism in Eukaryota, Metazoa, Chordata, Amphibia, Anura, Pelobatidae. The record is from the annotation of a GenBank genome assembly.
GGGAUCGGACAAAAGUUGACAGCUAGGCUGCCUUUUAGUCAACCUCAGGCUUGCCCGUAACACUGAGUAGUCCAUUGUUUUUCUUAUAUCUAUAGACAGUGUUAGAAUUUUACUCAGCACGAGAAUUUCGUAAAGAUUAUCAGGAUUAUGCAAAGUGAAUUUCAAACUUAAGGUCAAAGAGUUGAAUCAGAAAAAUUCUCUAUUUUAGCAGUGCUUCCACUUCAGCUACUGAGGCCUUAAAUGUGAAAUUCACAUUGAAUUCUCACUUUAGUGAAUAACCCUGUAUAUCUUUGUGAAAUAGAAAGAAGUAGCAGAGCUGCUUUAAUUUUGCCUGUGUG